Molecule: transfer RNA, 105 nt
Filed under: Alcanivorax sp. 1008
Lineage: Bacteria; Pseudomonadati; Pseudomonadota; Gammaproteobacteria; Oceanospirillales; Alcanivoracaceae
Description: tRNA-OTHER
Rfam family: tRNA
About the family: Transfer RNA (tRNA) molecules are approximately 80 nucleotides in length. Their secondary structure includes four short double-helical elements and three loops (D, anti-codon, and T loops). Further hydrogen bonds mediate the characteristic L-shaped molecular structure. tRNAs have two regions of fundamental functional importance: the anti-codon, which is responsible for specific mRNA codon recognition, and the 3' end, to which the tRNAs corresponding amino acid is attached (by aminoacyl-tRNA synthetases). tRNAs cope with the degeneracy of the genetic code in two manners: having more than one tRNA (with a specific anti-codon) for a particular amino acid; and 'wobble' base-pairing, i.e. permitting non-standard base-pairing at the 3rd anti-codon position.
Source: RNAcentral
CGCGGCGUAGCUCAGUGGGAUAGAGCGCCUUGCUUCGACAUACCAGAGAUCCGCAAUCAAAUGGUAUGGGCAGGGGGGUCGCGGGUUCAAGUCCCGCCGCCGCAA